GAGACUUUGCCUCUUAUAAUAUCUGAAGUAAGCCACAGAUGUCAUUUCUUCUACAAAUAUAUUAGUUCACAUCACUAAAAGGUGAGCCUGAUCUCACCAAAAUACCAAGAUCUCACCAAAUGGAAUAUGAGCGGAAGUGAUGAAGCAGUGGGCCACAUUUUCUCCAUGGAUGCAAAGGAUCCUUGGUGAUAUCAGAGAUAUGAAAUGGAAGGUAGCUGGAUUUAUGGACCACUGCUUGGGGGAGAUCCAACUACAAUCAGGAAGACUUAUUUAGACCAAACCCAAGCAAGAAAUAAACUUCUAUUCUGAUGAACACUGAGACGUAGGCUCCUGUGUGUUAUAGGAGAUACUAACGACUUAAUGAAUAUAAAUAAAACAGUUACAAAGAGGUGGGGGAAAUUAGUAUCCUGGUUAGUAUUAGAAACUAAGAAAAUCUGAACAUAUUAGUUGUUUCAAACAAAGUAUUUAAUAAAAGUCAAUUAAAGAAUCAAAAUAAAGCAGUAAGAAGUUGAAAGUAUGUGAAGCUGAGAAUAGAAAUCAGAAAAAAUUUUUUAAAGAUGUUAUAUCAAAAUUGAUUGACAUGUAUUGUAAUGUAUUGAUUGAAAAGUGAUAAAAUUGACAAAUUUCUUGCAUGUGUGAGAAAAAGAAAACAGAAGAGGCUUAAAACAUUUUAGGAUAAAAAGGGAGAGCUAAAUGCAGAGGUAGUAGAUAUUGAAAAAAUAUUAACAUCAUAAUAGUAUUUAGUAACUAAAAAUGCUUAAAUGUUUUUAAAAGAAAAAAUAUCGGCCAGGCGCACUGGCUCACGCCUGUAAUCCCAGCACUUUGGGAGGCCGAGGCGGGCGGAUCACGAGGUGAAGAGAUCGAGACCAUCCUGGCC
RNAcentral lists this long non-coding RNA (877 nucleotides) under Homo sapiens (human). RNAcentral describes it as "HSALNT0085215". Lineage: Eukaryota; Metazoa; Chordata; Mammalia; Primates; Hominidae. The record is from RNAcentral.